GGGUUGUGAGGUUAAGCGACUAAGCGUACACGGUGGAUGCCCUGGCAGUCAGAGGCGAUGAAGGACGUGCUAAUCUGCGAUAAGCGUCGGUAAGGUGAUAUGAACCGUUAUAACCGGCGAUUUCCGAAUGGGGAAACCCAGUGUGAUUCGUCACACUAUCAUUAACUGAAUCCAUAGGUUAAUGAGGCGAACCGGGGGAACUGAAACAUCUAAGUACCCCGAGGAAAAGAAAUCAACCGAGAUUCCCCCAGUAGCGGCGAGCGAACGGGGAGCAGCCCAGAGCCUGAAUCAGUGUGUGUGUUAGUGGAAGCGUCUGGAAAGGCGCGCGAUACAGGGUGACAGCCCCGUACACAAAAAUGCACAUGCUGUGAGCUCGAUGAGUAGGGCGGGACACGUGGUAUCCUGUCUGAAUAUGGGGGGACCAUCCUCCAAGGCUAAAUACUCCUGACUGACCGAUAGUGAACCAGUACCGUGAGGGAAAGGCGAAAAGAACCCCGGCGAGGGGAGUGAAAAAGAACCUGAAACCGUGUACGUACAAGCAGUGGGAGCACGCUUAGGCGUGUGACUGCGUACCUUUUGUAUAAUGGGUCAGCGACUUAUAUUCUGUAGCAAGGUUAACCGAAUAGGGGAGCCGAAGGGAAACCGAGUCUUAACUGGGCGUUAAGUUGCAGGGUAUAGACCCGAAACCCGGUGAUCUAGCCAUGGGCAGGUUGAAGGUUGGGUAACACUAACUGGAGGACCGAACCGACUAAUGUUGAAAAAUUAGCGGAUGACUUGUGGCUGGGGGUGAAAGGCCAAUCAAACCGGGAGAUAGCUGGUUCUCCCCGAAAGCUAUUUAGGUAGCGCCUCGUGAAUUCAUCUCCGGGGGUAGAGCACUGUUUCGGCAAGGGGGUCAUCCCGACUUACCAACCCGAUGCAAACUGCGAAUACCGGAGAAUGUUAUCACGGGAGACACACGGCGGGUGCUAACGUCCGUCGUGAAGAGGGAAACAACCCAGACCGCCAGCUAAGGUCCCAAAGUCAUGGUUAAGUGGGAAACGAUGUGGGAAGGCCCAGACAGCCAGGAUGUUGGCUUAGAAGCAGCCAUCAUUUAAAGAAAGCGUAAUAGCUCACUGGUCGAGUCGGCCUGCGCGGAAGAUGUAACGGGGCUAAACCAUGCACCGAAGCUGCGGCAGCGACGCUUAUGCGUUGUUGGGUAGGGGAGCGUUCUGUAAGCCUGUGAAGGUGUGCUGUGAGGCAUGCUGGAGGUAUCAGAAGUGCGAAUGCUGACAUAAGUAACGAUAAAGCGGGUGAAAAGCCCGCUCGCCGGAAGACCAAGGGUUCCUGUCCAACGUUAAUCGGGGCAGGGUGAGUCGACCCCUAAGGCGAGGCCGAAAGGCGUAGUCGAUGGGAAACAGGUUAAUAUUCCUGUACUUGGUGUUACUGCGAAGGGGGGACGGAGAAGGCUAUGUUGGCCGGGCGACGGUUGUCCCGGUUUAAGCGUGUAGGCUGGUUUUCCAGGCAAAUCCGGAAAAUCAAGGCUGAGGCGUGAUGACGAGGCACUACGGUGCUGAAGCAACAAAUGCCCUGCUUCCAGGAAAAGCCUCUAAGCAUCAGGUAACAUCAAAUCGUACCCCAAACCGACACAGGUGGUCAGGUAGAGAAUACCAAGGCGCUUGAGAGAACUCGGGUGAAGGAACUAGGCAAAAUGGUGCCGUAACUUCGGGAGAAGGCACGCUGAUAUGUAGGUGAAGUCCCUCGCGGAUGGAGCUGAAAUCAGUCGAAGAUACCAGCUGGCUGCAACUGUUUAUUAAAAACACAGCACUGUGCAAACACGAAAGUGGACGUAUACGGUGUGACGCCUGCCCGGUGCCGGAAGGUUAAUUGAUGGGGUCAGCGCAAGCGAAGCUCUUGAUCGAAGCCCCGGUAAACGGCGGCCGUAACUAUAACGGUCCUAAGGUAGCGAAAUUCCUUGUCGGGUAAGUUCCGACCUGCACGAAUGGCGUAAUGAUGGCCAGGCUGUCUCCACCCGAGACUCAGUGAAAUUGAACUCGCUGUGAAGAUGCAGUGUACCCGCGGCAAGACGGAAAGACCCCGUGAACCUUUACUAUAGCUUGACACUGAACAUUGAGCCUUGAUGUGUAGGAUAGGUGGGAGGCUUAGAAGUGUGGACGCCAGUCUGCAUGGAGCCGACCUUGAAAUACCACCCUUUAAUGUUUGAUGUUCUAACGUUGACCCGUAAUCCGGGUUGCGGACAGUGUCUGGUGGGUAGUUUGACUGGGGCGGUCUCCUCCUAAAGAGUAACGGAGGAGCACGAAGGUUGGCUAAUCCUGGUCGGACAUCAGGAGGUUAGUGCAAUGGCAUAAGCCAGCUUGACUGCGAGCGUGACGGCGCGAGCAGGUGCGAAAGCAGGUCAUAGUGAUCCGGUGGUUCUGAAUGGAAGGGCCAUCGCUCAACGGAUAAAAGGUACUCCGGGGAUAACAGGCUGAUACCGCCCAAGAGUUCAUAUCGACGGCGGUGUUUGGCACCUCGAUGUCGGCUCAUCACAUCCUGGGGCUGAAGUAGGUCCCAAGGGUAUGGCUGUUCGCCAUUUAAAGUGGUACGCGAGCUGGGUUUAGAACGUCGUGAGACAGUUCGGUCCCUAUCUGCCGUGGGCGCUGGAGAACUGAGGGGGGCUGCUCCUAGUACGAGAGGACCGGAGUGGACGCAUCACUGGUGUUCGGGUUGUCAUGCCAAUGGCACUGCCCGGUAGCUAAAUGCGGAAGAGAUAAGUGCUGAAAGCAUCUAAGCACGAAACUUGCCCCGAGAUGAGUUCUCCCUGACCCUUUAAGGGUCCUGAAGGAACGUUGAAGACGACGACGUUGAUAGGCCGGGUGUGUAAGCGCAGCGAUGCGUUGAGCUAACCGGUACUAAUGAACCGUGAGGCUUAACCUUACAACGCCGAAGGUGUUU
This 2931-nucleotide ribosomal RNA is filed under the name Escherichia coli. RNAcentral's name for it is "bacterial LSU rRNA". It matches the Rfam family "Bacterial large subunit ribosomal RNA". The record is from RNAcentral. Lineage: Bacteria; Pseudomonadati; Pseudomonadota; Gammaproteobacteria; Enterobacterales; Enterobacteriaceae.